RNA transcript from Phalaenopsis equestris, 1522 nucleotides. It is a transcript of the gene named polynucleotide 5'-hydroxyl-kinase NOL9-like, with no coding region annotated. NCBI's taxonomy places the organism in Eukaryota, Viridiplantae, Streptophyta, Magnoliopsida, Asparagales, Orchidaceae. The transcript has 10 exons. The record is from RefSeq and is a predicted model, not a curated record.
UAGAACUUCACGCUACUAAGCCGCAGUACUGUGCGAUUGAGAAAGAGAGAGUGAGUGAGGGCCAGAGAUGCGGGAGAAUCGAGAUGCUCCGUCGCCAUUGCCGAGAACUCUCAUUUCUCCGUCGUGGCAGGAGGCAGCAGACAACAUUGCCUACGAUUCGGCCACUUUCCCUCCUCCCAUUACCGUUAUUUGUGGUCCUGCUCACAGCGGCAAGGCCACCUUCUCACGCCUUCUUCUAAACACUCUAUUAGAGAGGUAUAAGAGAGUGGCUUAUUUGGAUUCCAACGUCGGCCAGCCGGAGUUCACGGUUACAGGUUGCGUGGCUCUUCACAUAAUCGACAAGCAGACGCCUGACUUGACGAUUCUAUACCUAAAGAAUCCGGAUAGAUGUGUCUUCUUUGGUCAUGUGUCUGCUAAAAAAGAAUCAAACAGUUAUUUUUCUAGCAUUAUUUUUUUAUAUGAUUACUUCCGCCGAGGGUUCUAUCAAGUGGAUGAGACUGAUAAUCCUUGCAAGAUAUUGUUGCCACUUAUUAUCAACACUUACGGAUGGGUGAAAGGUACUGGUUAUGAUGUGCUAGUGGCAAUGCUUCGGCAUACUUCUCCCACUCAUGUUGCCAAAGUUUGCAGCUCCUCAGAAAGUAAAAACCUCCCAAAUGGGUUGUUCUGGCUGGAAAACCCCCAAAGAAAACCUGUAAAUUUGGUUCAUAUUUGUUAUGGAAAUGAGACUUCAUAUCUACCGAAAAUUAUGAAAAAGGAGGCAUGCAUGUUGCGAGAUAUUAGAAUUAUUGCAUACUUUAGGCAGUGCUUGCCUAGAGAGAUGAACUUUCUAAAUCACAAGGAAUUUUGUGACCAACUUGCUUCCGUACCUCUUAAAGAAAUCCCUCUUUCAAGAGUCCAAGUUAAGCAUAACUGUUGUCAGGUGGUAAGCAGUGUAGUAUCUCAAGGUCUAAAUGCUUCAAUUGUUGGUCUCGCCGUCAGGUCUUCAGCAAUAGCUGAAAACAACACCCCAUGGUGUAUUGGACUUGGGAUUGUCAGAGCCGUAGAUUCAUCAAAAGACCAGCUUUAUCUUCUUACGCCUGUUGCUCCAUCCACCCUGAAAAAGGUUGAACUCAUCAUACAAAGCACUAUUGAUAUCCCGAUUUGUCUGCAGCAGAUUUUUGUUUAAUAGCUCAAAUCCAAGACCCCAAAUGCUGACCUGUUCUUAUUUUCUCCUGCAUUUUCCCAUGGAUUUUGCUCUGUAAGCUUCUCAACUCACUGGGAUUUGGUCGAGCUUGGCUUGAUAAGUUUUAGUCGAAUGUUGCUCGAGAGAUCUAGAUAGAGAUCGAUGCUAAGAAGUUUGAGUGUAUGACUAGGGCCAUGCAAAUGGAGACUAGCUGUUUUUGAGCUUCCAUCAUUGAUUGACAUGUGUACCAAAAUAUUAGAAUGUUGAUUAAUUUCAUCCCUUGGUGAUAGAUUUUUUGAUGUAGUCGCAAUUUCAACUUGUAAAAUACUUUACCAAUUAAGCUAGCAAGCUUAAAAUGAA